UACGUAGGGUGCAAGCGUUAAUCGGAAUUACUGGGCGUAAAGCGUGCGCAGGCGGUUUUGUAAGACUGUCGUGAAAUCCCCGGGCUUAACCUGGGAAUGGCGAUGGUGACUGCAAGGCUAGAGUUUGGCAGAGGGGGGUAGAAUUCCACGUGUAGCAGUGAAAUGCGUAGAUAUGCGGAGGAACACCGAUGGCGAAGGCAGUCCCCUGGGCCUGUACUGACGCUCAUGCACGAAAGCGUGGGGAGCAAACAGG
Molecule: ribosomal RNA, 253 nt
Filed under: uncultured bacterium
Lineage: Bacteria
Description: partial 16S ribosomal RNA
Rfam family: Bacterial small subunit ribosomal RNA
Source: RNAcentral